RNAcentral lists this transfer RNA (77 nucleotides) under Edaphobacter sp. RNAcentral describes it as "tRNA-Arg". It matches the Rfam family "tRNA". From Rfam's summary of the family: Transfer RNA (tRNA) molecules are approximately 80 nucleotides in length. Their secondary structure includes four short double-helical elements and three loops (D, anti-codon, and T loops). Further hydrogen bonds mediate the characteristic L-shaped molecular structure. tRNAs have two regions of fundamental functional importance: the anti-codon, which is responsible for specific mRNA codon recognition, and the 3' end, to which the tRNAs corresponding amino acid is attached (by aminoacyl-tRNA synthetases). tRNAs cope with the degeneracy of the genetic code in two manners: having more than one tRNA (with a specific anti-codon) for a particular amino acid; and 'wobble' base-pairing, i.e. permitting non-standard base-pairing at the 3rd anti-codon position. The record is from RNAcentral. Lineage: Bacteria; Pseudomonadati; Acidobacteriota; Terriglobia; Terriglobales; Acidobacteriaceae. RNAcentral also lists the same sequence under 2 other names.
GCGCCCGUAGCUCAGCUGGAUAGAGCAACUGGCUUCGAACCAGUAGGUCGGGAGUUCGAAUCUCUCCGGGCGCACCA